This 320-nucleotide unclassified non-coding RNA is filed under the name uncultured fungus. Its description in RNAcentral is "partial contains small subunit ribosomal RNA, internal transcribed spacer 1, and 5.8S ribosomal RNA". The stretch from base 1 to 73 matches the Rfam family "Eukaryotic small subunit ribosomal RNA", at positions 1759 to 1831 of the family's 1831-position model. Lineage: Eukaryota; Fungi. The record is from RNAcentral.
GCAAACUUGGUCAUUUAGAGGAAGUAAAAGUCGUAACAAGGUUUCCGUAGGUGAACCUGCGGAAGGAUCAUUAUCGAAUUACGUGCAAAGGUUGUCGCUGGCUCCUUCGGGGGCAUCGUGCAUGCCCUUGCUCAUAAUCCACUUACACCUGUGAACCUAAUGUGGGAGGCGAUGUCCUUUGAAGACAACAACUUCUCAUGUUUUUUAUAUACUCUAUAUUGUAUGUCUUUUGAAUGUUGAAACUUGCUUUGAUGCAAUGUUUAAAUAAUACAACUUUCAACAACGGAUCUCUUGGCUCUCGCAUCGAUGAAGAACGCAGC